RNAcentral lists this ribosomal RNA (441 nucleotides) under uncultured bacterium. RNAcentral's name for it is "partial 16S ribosomal RNA". It matches the Rfam family "Bacterial small subunit ribosomal RNA", at positions 338 to 795 of the family's 1533-position model. The record is from RNAcentral.
CCUACGGGAGGCAGCAGUGGGGAAUAUUGCACAAUGGGGGAAACCCUGAUGCAGCGACGCCGCGUGAGUGAAGAAGUAUUUCGGUAUGUAAAGCUCUAUCAGCAGGGAAGAAGAAAGACGGUACCUGACUAAGACGCCCCGGCUACCUACGUGCCAGCAGCCGCGGUCAUACGUAGGGGGCAAGCGUUAUCCGGAUUUACUGGGUGUAAAGGGAGCGUAGACGGCUGUGCAAGUCUGAAGUGAAAGCCCAGGGCUCAACCCUGGGACUGCUUUGGAAACUGUGGAGCUAGAGUGCUGGAGAGGUAAGUGGAAUUCCUAGUGUAGCGGUGAAAUGCGUAGAUAUUAGGAGGAACACCAGUGGCGAAGGCGGCUUACUGGACAGUAACUGACGUUGAGGCUCAAAAGCGUGGGGAGCAAACAGGAUUAGAUACCCUUGUAGUC